UACGAAGGGGGCUAGCGUUGUUCGGAUUUACUGGGCGUAAAGCGCACGUAGGCGGAUUGUUAAGUCGGGGGUGAAAUCCUGGAGCUCAACUCCAGAAUUGCCUUCGAUACUGGCUUUCUAGAGGCUGGAAGAGGUUAGUGGAAUUCCCAGUGUAGAGGUGAAAUUCGUAGAUAUUGGGAAGAACACCAGUGGCGAAAGCGGCUCACUGGUCCGGUACUGACGCUGAGGUGCGAAAGCGUGGGGAGCAAACAGG
RNAcentral lists this ribosomal RNA (253 nucleotides) under uncultured bacterium. RNAcentral's name for it is "partial 16S ribosomal RNA". It matches the Rfam family "Bacterial small subunit ribosomal RNA", at positions 524 to 776 of the family's 1533-position model. The record is from RNAcentral.